CCUACGGGAGGCAGCAGUGGGGAAUUUUGGACAAUGGGCGCAAGCCUGAUCCAGCAAUGCCGCGUGAGUGAAGAAGGCCUUCGGGUUGUAAAGCUCUUUUGUCAGGGAAGAAACGGUCUACUCUAAUACAGUGGGCUAAUGACGGUACCUGAAGAAUAAGCACCGGCUAACUACGUGCCAGCAGCCGCGGUAAUACGUAGGGUGCAAGCGUUAAUCGGAAUUACUGGGCGUAAAGCGUGCGCAGGCGGUUAUAUAAGUCAGAUGUGAAAUCCCCGGGCUCAACCUGGGAACUGCAUUUGAGACUGUAUGGCUAGAGUGUGUCAGAGGGGGGUAGAAUUCCACGUGUAGCAGUGAAAUGCGUAGAUAUGUGGAGGAAUACCGAUGGCGAAGGCAGCCCCCUGGGGAUAACACUGACGCUCAUGCACGAAAGCGUGGGGAGCAAACAGGAUUAGAUACCCUGGUAGUCCACGCCCUAAACGAUGUCUACUAGUUGUCGGGACUUAAUUGUCUUGGUAACGCAGCUAACGCGUGAAGUAGACCGCCUGGGGAGUUACGGUUGCAAGAUUAAAACUUAAAUUGAUUGACGG
RNAcentral lists this ribosomal RNA (587 nucleotides) under uncultured bacterium. RNAcentral's name for it is "bacterial SSU rRNA". It matches the Rfam family "Bacterial small subunit ribosomal RNA", at positions 338 to 916 of the family's 1533-position model. The record is from RNAcentral.